RNAcentral lists this ribosomal RNA (544 nucleotides) under Zorotypus barberi. RNAcentral's name for it is "bacterial SSU rRNA". It matches the Rfam family "Eukaryotic small subunit ribosomal RNA", at positions 39 to 554 of the family's 1831-position model. The record is from RNAcentral. Lineage: Eukaryota; Metazoa; Arthropoda; Insecta; Zoraptera; Zorotypidae.
AAAGAUUAAGCCAUGCAAGUGUCAGUACAAGCUUAAUUAAAGUGAAACCGCGAAUGGCUCAGUAAAUCAGUUAUGGUUCAUUUGAUGAAUCAAUGGUCACGUGGAUAACUGUGGCAAUUCCAGAGCUAAUACAUGCACUAGAGUCCCAACCUUGCGGAAGGGACGCUUUUAUUAGUCAACAAAACCAAACCACGGUUGGGCAGCAAUGUCCUUCCGAAACUCCCUGUGGUGAACCUGGAUAACAUUGAACAGAUCGCACGGCCUUCGAGCCUGGCGACGCAUCAUUCAAAUGCCUGCUCUAUCAACUUUGAUGGUCGGUUAUACGCCUACCAUGGUGUUGACGGGUGACGGGGAAUCAGGGUUCGAUUCCGGAGAGGGAGCCUGAGAAACGGCUACCACAUCCAAGGAAGGCAGCAGGCGCGCAAAUUACCCACUCCCAGCACGGGGAGGUAGUGACGAAGUAUAACGAUACGGGACUCCCAUCCGAGGCCCCGUGAUCGGAAUGAGACUGGUUCAGAGAACUGGUGCGAGUAUCAAUCGGAGG